GAUGAACGCUGGCGGCGUGCCUAAUACAUGCAAGUCGAGCGAACAGACGAGGAGCUUGCUCCUCUGACGUUAGCGGCGGACGUGUGAGUAACACGUGGAUAACCUACCUAUAAGACUGGGAUAACUUCGGGAAACCGGAGCUAAUACCGGAUAAUAUAUUGAACCGCAUGGUUCAAUAGUGAAAGACGGUUUUGCUGUUACUUAUAGAUGGAUCCGCGCUGCAUUAGCUAGUUGGUAAGGUAACGGCUUACCAAGGCAACGAUGCGUAGCCGACCUGAGCGGGUGAUCGGCCACACUGGAACUGAGACACGGUCCAGACUCCUACGGGAGGCAGCAGUAGGGAAUCUUACGCAAUGGGCGAAAGCUUGACGGAGCAACGCCGCGUGAGUGAUGAAGGUCUUCGGAUAGUAAAACUCUGUUAUUAGGGAAGAACAAAUGUGUAAGUAACUAUGAACGUCUUGACGGUACCUAAUCAGAAAGCCACGGCUAACUACGUG
This 497-nucleotide ribosomal RNA is filed under the name uncultured bacterium. Its description in RNAcentral is "partial 16S ribosomal RNA". It matches the Rfam family "Bacterial small subunit ribosomal RNA", at positions 28 to 507 of the family's 1533-position model. The record is from RNAcentral.